This 722-nucleotide ribosomal RNA is filed under the name uncultured Fusobacterium sp. RNAcentral describes it as "bacterial SSU rRNA". It matches the Rfam family "Bacterial small subunit ribosomal RNA", at positions 28 to 776 of the family's 1533-position model. The record is from RNAcentral. Lineage: Bacteria; Fusobacteriati; Fusobacteriota; Fusobacteriia; Fusobacteriales; Fusobacteriaceae.
GAUGAACGCUGACAGAAUGCUUAACACAUGCAAGUCAACUUGAACUUCGGUUUGGGUGGCGGACGGGUGAGUAACGCGUAAAGAACUUACCUCACAGAUAGGGACAACAUUUGGAAACGAAUGCUAAUACUUGAUAUUAUGAUUUUAGGACAUCCUAGAAUUAUGAAAGCUAUAUGCGCUGUGAGAGAGCUAUGCGUCCCAUUAGCUAGUUGGAGAGGUAACGGCUCACCAAGGCGAUGAUGGGUAGCCGGCCUGAGAGGGUGAUCGGCCACAAGGGGACUGAGACACGGCCCUUACUCCUACGGGAGGCAGCAGUGGGGAAUAUUGGACAAUGGACUAAGAGUCUGAUCCAGCAAUUCUGUGUGCACGAUGAAGUUUUUCGGAAUGUAAAGUGCUUUCAGUUGGGAAGAAAAAAAUGACGGUACCAACAUAAGAAGUGACGGCUAAAUACGUGCCAGCAGCCGCGGUAAUACGUAUGUCACAAGCGUUAUCCGGAUUUAUUGGGCGUAAAGCGCGUCUAGGUGGUUAUGUAAGUCUGAUGUGAAAAUGCAGGGCUCAACUCUGUAUUGCGUUGGAAACUGUGUAACUAGAGUACUGGAGAGGUAAGCGGAACUACAAGUGUAGAGGUGAAAUUCGUAGAUAUUUGUAGGAAUGCCGAUGGGGAAGCCAGCUUACUGGACAGAUACUGACGCUGAAGCGCGAAAGCGUGGGUAGCAAACAGG